UGGUAUCUAGUCGCUUAUACAUAUCGUCAUAAGCCGCUAACUUAGCUUCUCUCACAGCUUUCUUCGCCUCUUGAUUCGCUCUUCUAUACCUUUCACUAUUUUCAUCGGUCCUAUCCUUGUAUAAGGCUUUACAACAUUCCUUCUUAGCCUUCACCUUUGUUUGUACCUCCUUAUUCCACCACCAAGAUUCCUUUUGGUGUGGAGCAAAGCCCUUGGACUCUCCUAAUACCUCUUUUGCUACUUUUCGAAUACAGCUAGCCAUGGAAUCCCACAUUUGGCUAGCUUCCCCCUCUCUAUCCCACACAUACUGGGUGAUUACUUGCUCUUUGAAAAUGACUUGUUUUUCUCCUCUUAGAUUCCACCAUCUAGUCUUUGGGCACUUCCAAGU
RNAcentral lists this long non-coding RNA (388 nucleotides) under Malus domestica (apple). Its description in RNAcentral is "long non-coding RNA (MDOM_LNC001003)". Lineage: Eukaryota; Viridiplantae; Streptophyta; Magnoliopsida; Rosales; Rosaceae. The record is from RNAcentral.